GUUUCCGUAGGUGAGUCGCCUUAACCCCGGCCCCCCCCCGUGUUUUGUGUGACGACCGUAUGCUAACGUGUGAUUUUAGUGAACCUGCGGAAGGAUCAUU
Molecule: ribosomal RNA, 100 nt
Filed under: Lepra amara
Lineage: Eukaryota; Fungi; Ascomycota; Lecanoromycetes; Pertusariales; Pertusariaceae
Description: partial 18S ribosomal RNA
Source: RNAcentral